UACACUCCUACGGGAGGCAGCAGUGGGGAAUAUUGGACAAUGGGCGCAAGCCUGAUCCAGCCAUGCCGCGUGAGUGAUGAAGGCCCUAGGGUUGUAAAGCUCUUUCACCGGUGAAGAUAAUGACGGUAACCGGAGAAGAAGCCCCGGCUAACUUCGUGCCAGCAGCCGCGGUAAUACGAAGGGGGCUAGCGUUGUUCGGAUUUACUGGGCGUAAAGCGCACGUAGGCGGACUAUUAAGUCAGGGGUGAAAUCCCGGGGCUCAACCCCGGAACUGCCUUUGAUACUGGUAGUCUUGAGUUCGAGAGAGGUGAGUGGAAUUCCGAGUGUAGAGGUGAAAUUCGUAGAUAUUCGGAGGAACACCAGUGGCGAAGGCGGCUCACUGGCUCGAUACUGACGCUGAGGUGCGAAAGCGUGGGGAGCAAACAGGAUUAGAAACCCUUGUAGUCCCAUGA
Molecule: ribosomal RNA, 452 nt
Filed under: uncultured organism
Description: partial 16S ribosomal RNA
Rfam family: Bacterial small subunit ribosomal RNA
Source: RNAcentral